This 497-nucleotide ribosomal RNA is filed under the name uncultured bacterium. RNAcentral describes it as "partial 16S ribosomal RNA". It matches the Rfam family "Bacterial small subunit ribosomal RNA", at positions 28 to 507 of the family's 1533-position model. The record is from RNAcentral.
GAUGAACGCUGGCGGCGUGCCUAAUACAUGCGAGUCGAGCGAGCGGACGAGAAGCUUGCUUCUCUGAUGUUAGCGGCGGACGGGUGAGUAACACGUGGAUAACCUACCUAUAAGACUGGGAUAACUUCGGGAAACCGUAGCUAAUACCGGAUAAUAUUUUGAACCGCAUGGUUCAAAAGUGAAAGACGGUCUUGCUGUCACUUAUAGAUGGAUCCGCGCUGCAUUAGCUAGUUGGUAAGGUAACGGCUUACCAAGGCAACGAUGCAUAGCCGACCUGAGAGGGUGAUCGGCCACACUGGAACUGAGACACGGUCCAGACUCCUACGGGAGGCAGCAGUAGGGAAUCUUCCGCAAUGGGCGAAAGCCUGACGGAGCAACGCCGCGUGAGUGAUGAAGGUCUUCGGAUCGUAAAACUCUGUUAUUAGGGAAGAACAUAUGUGUAAGUAACUGUGCACAUCUUGACGGUACCUAAUCAGAAAGCCACGGCUAACUACGUG